RNAcentral lists this ribosomal RNA (468 nucleotides) under uncultured bacterium. RNAcentral's name for it is "partial 16S ribosomal RNA". It matches the Rfam family "Bacterial small subunit ribosomal RNA", at positions 28 to 507 of the family's 1533-position model. The record is from RNAcentral.
GAUGAACGCUGGCGGCGUGCUUAACACAUGCAAGUCGAACGGAAAGGCCCAAGCUUGCUUGGGUACUCGAGUGGCGAACGGGUGAGUAACACGUGGGUGAUCUGCCCUGCACUUCGGGAUAAGCCUGGGAAACUGGGUCUAAUACCGGAUAGGACGAUGGUUUGGAUGCCAUUGUGGAAAGUUUUUUCGGUGUGGGAUGAGCUCGCGGCCUAUCAGCUUGUUGGUGGGGUAAUGGCCUACCAAGGCGUCGACGGGUAGCCGGCCUGAGAGGGGGUACGGCCACAGUGGGACUGAGAUACGGCCCAGAAGCCUACGGGAGGCAGCAGUGGGGAAUAUUGCACAAUGGGCGCAAGCCUGAUGCAGCGACGCCGCGUGGGGGAUGACGGCCUUCGGGUUGUAAACUCCUUUCGCUAGGGACGAAGCGUUUUUGUGACGGUACCUGGAGAAGAAGCACCGGCUAACUACGUG